CCUACGGGUGGCUGCAGUGAGGAAUAUUGGUCAAUGGACGCAAGUCUGAACCAGCCAUGCCGCGUGCAGGAUGACGGUCCUAUGAGUUGUAAACUGCUUUUGUACGAGGGUAAACCCCGAUACGUGUAUCGGGUCGACAGUAUCGUACGAAUAAGGAUCGGCUAACUCCGUGCCAGCAGCCGCGGUAAUACGGAGGAUCCGAGCGUUAUCCGGAUUUAUUGGGUUUAAAGGGUGCGUAGGCGGUUUGAUAAGUUAGAGGUGAAAUGUCGGGGCGCAACCCCGAAACUGCGUCUAAUACUGUUGGACUAGAGAAUAGUAGAGGUAGGCGGAAUGUAUGGUGUAGCGGUGAAAUGCUUAGAGAUCAGACAGAACACCGAUUGCGAAGGCAGCUUACCGGACUAUAUCUGACGUUGAGGCACGAAAGCGUGGGUAGCAAACAGGAUUAGAUACCCUUGUAGUC
RNAcentral lists this ribosomal RNA (460 nucleotides) under uncultured bacterium. RNAcentral's name for it is "partial 16S ribosomal RNA". It matches the Rfam family "Bacterial small subunit ribosomal RNA", at positions 338 to 795 of the family's 1533-position model. The record is from RNAcentral.